AAGAAAAAUGGUAAAAAGGUAUGUGAAUUGAUAAUAGAUAAUGUCUACAGCCUCACUAGAUAUCCUGGGAGAUGGUGGACGGACCGAAUCUGUAGGGAACCCUACCGGGAACGUAGUCUCUCAUAUCGGACGGGGUAUGAAGACUUUAUGUGUUUUGGUGCCCAUAUUGGAUGGGGUAUAGGGACGACCCGUUUCACCCUCAUACCGGACGGGG
RNAcentral lists this long non-coding RNA (214 nucleotides) under Carica papaya (papaya). RNAcentral's name for it is "long non-coding RNA (CPAP_LNC002441)". Lineage: Eukaryota; Viridiplantae; Streptophyta; Magnoliopsida; Brassicales; Caricaceae. The record is from RNAcentral.